RNAcentral lists this ribosomal RNA (492 nucleotides) under uncultured bacterium. RNAcentral's name for it is "partial 16S ribosomal RNA". It matches the Rfam family "Bacterial small subunit ribosomal RNA", at positions 30 to 507 of the family's 1533-position model. The record is from RNAcentral.
AUUGAACGCUGGCGGCAUGCUUUACACAUGCAAGUCGAACGGUAACAGGCCUUCGGGUGCUGACGAGUGGCGAACGGGUGAGUAAUGCAUCGGAACGUACCCAGAGGUGGGGGAUAACGCAGCGAAAGCUGUGCUAAUACCGCAUGUGAUCUGAGGAUGAAAGCGGGGGACCGAGCAGCAAUGUUUGGCCUCGCGCCUUUGGAGCGGCCGAUGUCGGAUUAGCUAGUUGGUGGGGUAAAGGCCUACCAAGGCGACGAUCCGUAGCUGGUCUGAGAGGACGACCAGCCACACUGGGACUGAGACACGGCCCAGACUCCUACGGGAGGCAGCAGUGGGGAAUUUUGGACAAUGGGUGCAAGCCUGAUCCAGCAAUGCCGCGUGCGGGAAGAAGGCCUUCGGGUUGUAAACCGCUUUUGGCAGGAACGAAACGGUGUCCGCUAAUACCGGGCGCUAAUGACGGUACCUGCAGAAUAAGCACCGGCUAACUACGUG